RNAcentral lists this ribosomal RNA (387 nucleotides) under uncultured bacterium. RNAcentral's name for it is "bacterial SSU rRNA". It matches the Rfam family "Bacterial small subunit ribosomal RNA", at positions 29 to 417 of the family's 1533-position model. The record is from RNAcentral.
AUUGAACGCUGGCGGAAUGCUUUACACAUGCAAGUCGAACGGCAGCACGGGGGCAACCCUGGUGGCGAGUGGCGAGCGGGUGAGUAAUACAUCGGAACGUGCCCAGUCGUGGGGGAUAACGUAGCGAAAGCUACGCUAAUACCGCAUACGAACUGAGGUUGAAAGCGGGGGAUCGCAAGACCUCGCGCGAUUGGAGCGGCCGAUGGCAGAUUAGGUAGUUGGUGGGGUAAAGGCNCACCAAGCCGACGAUCUGUAGCUGGUCUGAGAGGACGACCAGCCACACUGGGACUGAGACACGGCCCAGACUCCUACGGGAGGCAGCAGUGGGGAAUCUUGCGCAAUGGGCGAAAGCCUGACGCAGCGACGCCGCGUGAGGGAUGACGGCCU